GACGAACGCUGGCGGCGUGCUUAACACAUGCAAGUCGAACGGAAAGGCCCUGCUUUUGUGGGGUGCUCGAGUGGCGAACGGGUGAGUAACACGUGAGUAACCUGCCCUUGACUUUGGGAUAACUUCAGGAAACUGGGGCUAAUACCGGAUAGGAGCUCCUGCUGCAUGGUGGGGGUUGGAAAGUUUCGGCGGUUGGGGAUGGACUCGCGGCUUAUCAGCUUGUUGGUGGGGUAGUGGCUUACCAAGGCUUUGACGGGUAGCCGGCCUGAGAGGGUGACCGGCCACAUUGGAACUGAGAUACGGCCCAGACUCCUACGGGAGGCAGCAGUGGGGAAUAUUGCACAAUGGGCGGAAGCCUGAUGAAGCAACGCCGCGUGCGGGAGGACGGCCUUCGGGUGGUAAACGGCUUUCGCCUGUGACGAAGCGUGAGUGACGGUAAUGGGUAAAGAAGCACCGGCUACUACGUG
This 467-nucleotide ribosomal RNA is filed under the name uncultured bacterium. RNAcentral describes it as "partial 16S ribosomal RNA". It matches the Rfam family "Bacterial small subunit ribosomal RNA", at positions 28 to 507 of the family's 1533-position model. The record is from RNAcentral.